RNAcentral lists this long non-coding RNA (361 nucleotides) under Pandoravirus dulcis. RNAcentral's name for it is "putative ncRNA". The record is from RNAcentral.
CACCUGCUUGAGCACCUUGUAGAUGAACGACGAGUACGAGGUGUAGUUUUUCUUGCGCUGGCCGCGGCCGCGCUUGCCGACCUUGGCCGCGGCGCCGCCCUCGGCCUUGGCGGCCGUCGAGAGGACGAUCUUUUUCUUGCCCUGCUUGCCGGCCUUUUUCUUGGUCGCUUUGGUGCCCGGCUCGGCCUUGGGCGCGGCGUCGGCCUCGCUCACGGCAGAAGGCGCGGUGGCCUCGUUGUCGGCGGUCUCGCUGGCGACCGCCUGCGGCUCGGGCGCGACCUCGGUGUUGGUGUCCAUAGGUGACGGGGCAGACAUGGGAGUGGAAAAAAGAAAAGUUGGAGGCGGAAAAAAAGGCGAGCAG